Molecule: ribosomal RNA, 170 nt
Filed under: uncultured bacterium
Lineage: Bacteria
Description: partial 16S ribosomal RNA
Rfam family: Eukaryotic small subunit ribosomal RNA
Source: RNAcentral
UCUACGGGAGGCAGCAGGCGCGCAAAUUACCCAAUCCCGACACGGGGAGGUAGUGACAAUAAAUACUGAUACAGGGCUCUUUUGGGUCUUGUAAUUGGAAUGAGUACAAUCUAAACCUCUUAACGAGGAACAAUUGGAGGGCAAGUCUGGUGCCAGCAGCCGCGGUAAUA